AUUGAACACUGGCGGCAUGCCUUACACAUGCAAGUCGAACGGCAGCGGGGGAGAAGCUUGCUUUUCCUGCCGGCGAGUGGCGAACGGGUGAGUAAUACAUCGGAACGUGCCCAGUAGUGGGGGAUAACUAGUCGAAAGAUUAGCUAAUACCGCAUACGACCUGAGGGUGAAAGGGGGGGACGGCAAGGCCUCAUGCUAUAGGAGCGGCCGAUGUCUGGAUUAGCUAGUUGGUGGGGUAAAGGCCUACCAAGGCGACGAUCAGUAGCUGGUCUGAGAGGACGAGCGGCCGCACUUGGACGGGGACAAGGCCCCAGCACCGACGGGAGGCAGCAGGGGGGAAUUUUGGACAAGGGGCGAAAGCCUGAUCCAGCCAUUGCGCGUGUGUGAAGAAGGGCUUCGGGUUGUAAAGGACUUUUGUCCGGAAAGAAAUGGCUCCGGUUAACAACUGGGGUUGAUGACGGUACCGGAAGAAUAAGGACCGGCUAACUACGUGCCAGCAGCCGCGGUAA
RNAcentral lists this ribosomal RNA (509 nucleotides) under uncultured bacterium. RNAcentral's name for it is "partial 16S ribosomal RNA". It matches the Rfam family "Bacterial small subunit ribosomal RNA", at positions 29 to 523 of the family's 1533-position model. The record is from RNAcentral.